AUUGAACGCUGGCGGCAGGCUUAACACAUGCAAGUCGAGCGGGGUGAUGGUGCUUGCACUAUCACUUAGCGGCGGACGGGUGAGUAAUGCUUAGGAAUCUGCCUAUUAGUGGGGGACAACAUCCCGAAAGGGAUGCUAAUACCGCAUACGUCCUACGGGAGAAAGCAGGGGAUCACUUGUGACCUUGCGCUAAUAGAUGAGCAUAAGUCGGAUUAGCUAGUUGGUGGGGUAAAGGCCUACCAAGGCGACGGUCUGUAGCAGGUCUGAGAGGAUGAUCCGCCACACUGGGACUGAGACACGGCCCAGACGCCUACGGGAGGCAGCAGUGGGGAAUAUUGGACAAUGGGGGGAACCCUGAUCCAGCCAUGCCGCGUGUGUGAAGAAGGCCUUAUGGUUGUAAAGCACUUUAAGCGAGGAGGAGGCUCUUUUGGUUAAUACCCAAGAUGAGUGGACGUUACUCGCAGAAUAAGCACCGGCUAACUCUGUGCCAGCAGCCGCAGUAA
This 503-nucleotide ribosomal RNA is filed under the name uncultured bacterium. RNAcentral describes it as "partial 16S ribosomal RNA". It matches the Rfam family "Bacterial small subunit ribosomal RNA", at positions 30 to 523 of the family's 1533-position model. The record is from RNAcentral.